GACGAACGCUGGCGGCGUGCUUAACACAUGCAAGUCGAACGCGAAAAGGGCUUCGGCUCUUAGUAGAGUGGCGAACGGGUGAGUAACACGUGGGUGACCUACCUUCGAAUGGGGGAUAACGCCCCGAAAGGGACGCUAAUACCGCAUAACAUCCUGCCUUUGAACAGGUGGAGAUCAAAGCCGGGGAUCGCAAGACCUGGCGUUUGAAGAGGGGCCCGCGUCUGAUUAGCUUAGUUGGUGAGGAACGGCCCACCAAGGCGACGAUCAGUAUCCGGCCUGAG
Molecule: ribosomal RNA, 281 nt
Filed under: uncultured bacterium
Lineage: Bacteria
Description: partial 16S ribosomal RNA
Rfam family: Bacterial small subunit ribosomal RNA
Source: RNAcentral